ACACAUGCAAGUCGAGGGGAAACGGCAUUAAGUGCUUGCACUUUUUGGACGUCGACCGGCGCACGGGUGAGUAACGCGUAUCCAACCUGCCCCUUACCAGGGAAUAACCCGUUGAAAGACGGACUAAUGCCCUAUGGAGUCCUUUGACGGCAUCAGAUUAGGACUAAAGAUUCAUCGGUAUGGGAUGGGGAUGCGUCUGAUUAGCUUGUUGGCGGGGUAACGGCCCACCAAGGCAUCGAUCAGUAGGGGUUCUGAGAGGAAGGUCCCCCACAUAGGAACUGAGACACGGUCCUAACUCCUACGGGAGGCAGCAGUGAGGAAUAUUGGUCAAUGGGCGCUAGCCUGAACCAGCCAAGUAGCGUGCAGGAUGACGGCCCUAUGGGUUGUAAACUGCUUUUAUGCGGGGAUAAAGUCACCCACGUGUGGGUGUUUGCAGGUACCGCAUGAAUAAGGACCGGCUAAUUCCGUGCCAGCAGCCGCGGUAAUACGGAAGGUCCGGGCGUUAUCCGGAUUUAUUGGGUUUAAAGGGAGUGUAGGCGGCCUGUUAAGCGUGUUGUGAAAUGUAGAUGCUCAACAUCUGAACUGCAGCGCGAACUGGCUGGCUUGAGUACACGCAACGUGGGCGGAAUUCAUGGUGUAGCGGUGAAAUGCUUAGAUAUCAUGAGGAACUCCUAUUGCGAAGGCAGCUCACGGGAGUGUCACUGACGCUUAAGCUCGAAGGUGCGGGUAUCAAACAGGAUUAGAUACCCUGGUAGUCCGCACGGUAAACGAUGGAUGCCCGCUGUUGGCGCUUUGCGUCAGCGGCUAAGCGAAAGCAUUAAGCAUCCCACCUGGGG
This 836-nucleotide ribosomal RNA is filed under the name uncultured bacterium. Its description in RNAcentral is "bacterial SSU rRNA". It matches the Rfam family "Bacterial small subunit ribosomal RNA", at positions 51 to 878 of the family's 1533-position model. The record is from RNAcentral.